AGGCGGGGGGGCAUCAUCUA
This 20-nucleotide ribosomal RNA is filed under the name Fusarium solani. RNAcentral's name for it is "partial 18S ribosomal RNA". Lineage: Eukaryota; Fungi; Ascomycota; Sordariomycetes; Hypocreales; Nectriaceae. The record is from RNAcentral.